UUCUGCUAAGUCGCAAGACGAUGUAUAGGAGCUGACGCCUGCCCGGUGCUGGAAGGUUAAGGGGAUCUGUUAGAGCAAUCGAAGCAGUGAACUUAAGCCCCAGUAAACGGCGGCCGUAACUAUAACGGUCCUAAGGUAGCGAAAUUCCUUGUCGGGUAAGUUCCGACCCGCACGAAAGGCGUAACGAUUUGGGCACUGUCUCAACAACAGACUCGGUGAAAUUGUAAUUCCGGUGAAGAUGCCGGAUACCUGCGACAGGACGGAAAGACCCCAUGGAGCUUUACUGUAGCUUGACAUUGGGUCUUGGUACUACAUGUACAGGAUAGGUGGGAGGCUUUGAAACCAGGACGCCAGUUUUGGCGGAGCCAUCCUUGGGAUACCACCCUUGUAGUACUGGGACUCUAACCAUAGGCCAUGAAUCUGGUCUUGGGACACUGUCAGGUGGGCAGUUUGACUGGGGCGGUCGCCUCCCAAAAGGUAACGGAGGCGCUCAAAGGUUCUCUCAGUACGGUCGGAAAUCGUACGUAGAGUGUAAAGGCAAAAGAGAGCUUGAUUGCAAGACAUACAGGUCGAGCAAGGAUGAAAAUCGGACUUAGUGAUCCGGUGGUUCUGCGUGGAAGGGCCAUCGCUCAACGGAUAAAAGCUACCCUGGGGAUAACAGGCUUAUCUCCCCCAAGAGUCCACAUCGACGGGGAGGUUUGGCACCUCGAUGUCGGCUCAUCACAUCCUGGGGCUGUAGUAGGUCCCAAGGGUUGGGCUGUUCGCCCAUUAAAGUGGUACGCG
This 783-nucleotide ribosomal RNA is filed under the name Clostridioides difficile. Its description in RNAcentral is "partial 23S ribosomal RNA". It matches the Rfam family "Bacterial large subunit ribosomal RNA", at positions 1821 to 2602 of the family's 2925-position model. Lineage: Bacteria; Bacillati; Bacillota; Clostridia; Peptostreptococcales; Peptostreptococcaceae. The record is from RNAcentral.